RNAcentral lists this long non-coding RNA (278 nucleotides) under Ananas comosus (pineapple). RNAcentral describes it as "long non-coding RNA (ACOM_LNC015457)". The record is from RNAcentral. Lineage: Eukaryota; Viridiplantae; Streptophyta; Magnoliopsida; Poales; Bromeliaceae.
AAUUAUUUAUAAAAAAAUAAUGCUAUACUUUUUUUUGAGAGAUAGGUAGCAAGCUACCCGCUUCGUUUAUUUCAUUUAGAAAAUAAACUUAGCUGGAAUUAUGAAUCAACUAAGAUUCGAACUUGGGUCUCGAGUACCAACCACCAAACCCUUUGCCACUUGCUCUAGGGAUGGUCGGUAAAUAAUGCUAUACUUACGAACAUCUUACAAACUAUUUAAAUACUCAAACAUUUGAUUUCUACGGUCUCACGGAACAACAAAAACAUAACUAUACAUUU